AGAGUUUGAUUAUGGCUCAGGAUGAACGCUGGCGGCGUGCCUAACACAUGCAAGUCGAACGGAGCAUACGGACCGGAGAUUCGUCGAAGGAUCGUAUGACUUAGUGGCGGACGGGUGAGUAAUGUAUGAGCAACCUGCCUUUCAGAGGGGGACAACAGUUGGAAACGACUGCUAAUACCGCGUAACGUAUCGUGGGGGCAUCCUCGUGAUACCAAAGGAGCAAUCCGCUGAAAGAUGGGCUCAUAUCUGAUUAGCUUGUUGGCGGGGUAACGGCCCACCAAGGCGACGAUCAGUAGCCGGACUGAGAGGUUGAACGGCCACAUUGGGACUGAGAUACGGCCCAGACUCCUACGGGAGGCAGCAGUGGGGAAUAUUGGGCAAUGGGCGAAAGCCUGACCCAAGCAACGCCGCGUGAAGGAAGAAGGUCUUCGGAUUGUAAACUUCUUUUAUGAGGGACGAAGGACGUGACGGUACCUCAUGAAUAAGCCACGGCUAACUACGUGCCAGCAGCUGC
This 514-nucleotide ribosomal RNA is filed under the name uncultured bacterium. Its description in RNAcentral is "bacterial SSU rRNA". It matches the Rfam family "Bacterial small subunit ribosomal RNA", at positions 8 to 518 of the family's 1533-position model. The record is from RNAcentral.